AAUGGACAAUGAUUAUUGCACAAAUAGUAUUUAGUACCAAAAAAUAUUGAACUAAAAUAUAGAACAUUGCCUCUCCCAUAACUCUCCAGAAUAAAAUGACACUAGAUGUCAUCAGUUGCUGCAAAUACAUGUACAGUGAAGCCGUCGUUUAUCCCAUUCAAACCCAUUCAAACAACGAAAACAGUAUUUAUUGUUUGAAUUUUAUAUUAAAACUUACACAAAUUUAAAGUUGACUUUGUUUCAUAUCACAAGCAAGGUGCAUCAGAUUUACAUGGGCAACGUGAGAGCGUGAGACAGAGCCUGAAAGCGUGUCUCUGACAACCCUGCAUGACCAAAUACAGCGCACACCUUAUUAAUAAAACACACGUACAAGCAAGAGCCCAAAACAUAUUACCGUGUACGGUCAACAACUUCAUCUUCUGGUUUUAUGGCGUGUUGCGAAAGGUACGACCAACUUAGAUCACAUCUGCAUUAAUAACCGAUCAUAGCCUUGACGUCAGUGAACUGCCGUAAACUGAGUUCCACCUGUCGCAAAAAGUCAGUGACUUUUUUUUUUUUUAAACGCAUUCUUCUAAAUUCCCAAAAUUAUUAAAUCCAAAAAUAUACCGUUAGUGUAAAACAUGUUGAAAAUUAGCAGAUAGGUUGUGGAUUCAUUAAAGCUAUUUCCUCUAAAAAACGUCUUUAUUCAGCGUAACGGGGUCUAGCAUAGCCGUUACGCUAAAGGUCACAGAGUGCAGUGCAGAUGGCGACAAGUGAAGCCAUGUCAGAAACUGCAGAUGAAAGCGUGCAAGGUAUGUAAGACCCAUCCAGUUACAUAUUUUAACCUCCGUUCUGUUGUCCUUAGUUCAUGAAACAAAUAAAAUAAGUAAAAUAGAUAUUUGUAUAAACACACAUAAACCCAAUAGGCAUUACACCCUCAUGCUACUACAUUUAGCCAUGUACCCACCUUGAUUCUAUCGGAAAAAAUAUUAAACUUUAUUAUGCCAAGUUUAUUUUCAAUUUAUAUUUUCAGUUAGGUCUACUUUAAUUGCUGUACCAUACUUUAUAUAGCAAAUAUACCACACUUAAUGUAAUCAUUGGCAUAAUAUUAAGUUACUGCAACCCUUUAACUAAUUUUGUAUUUAAAUUGUCUACGUGAAUAUUUUAUUUAUAAAAUUCAUAAACAUCUGUCAAAUUAAACUGAAAACCUAUAACUGUAGAGAACAAAAAAGAAACAACGUUAGAUGAAAUCUCAUUUAUUACACACUUCCGCAAGUUAACUGUUCACACACACAGCUUUUUGAACAAUCGAACGAGCAGUGAAAACCGUUAAUCACAUGGCUGCCGUUAAAGAAACGGAAUGCAGAAUAGCUAAAGAACACACUUAGCUAAAUUACAAAAGAACAGACUACAGUAUAACAAUAUUACUAUGCAACUCGACAACUUAAGCUAAUUGGCAAAUUAGCAAUUCAGCGUUUCAACAAAAACUCACGUACACAUUCAGAAUAAUACAAAACGAAGACAGAGUUAAGGUACGUUAACAGUAUAACACUAUGCGAUAACAAUUUGAGUGAGAAACAGACUUUUUUUUUUUUUUUACAUAUUACCUAUUCAACAGUUGCCGGUUCAUCAACCAAACUGCCUCGCUGAAUGUCCUGACUAAGGGCAGCAGCUUCGAUAACUUCCCAAUCUUGCAGAACUUGCCCAGCUUCACCAUCCGUCGCUGGGCUGCCGUCGUUAGCAGCAACCAAGGGGUCCCCACGACUUUGUGAAGGAGGUUGAAUUAUCGCGGUGAUCAAGGAAUCAUUAUUAAUGCACAUUUCCAGCUCUGGCCUAUUAAGGAAAUGUUCCUCAAUGCUUUCCACGUCGUUUGGGGAGUAGAUGACGCGAUAUCUGGCCAAGUAAGCGGUUAGGCAGGAAUCGGUCACAAUCAGCGAGUGAUCUUGCUGGUCAGCUGUGAGAACGAUCGUUCCUCCGUAGGUUGAGCUGUAGACCGAUGACCGCUGCAGCAGAUUGCAGACAUCGCAUCUGUGGGUGAUGGAGUUGGCAGAAAUGUCGUUUUGAACACUGUGGCACCUCGGACAGCGAUGCCUGGCUCGGAUUUGAACCCCGGAGACCAAACCGCGCAGAGUCGUGGAAGAAGCGCCGUUGUCGGGAUCAUCGCUACCCCAGUCAGGUUGGAGAAGGAGUAAGAUUUGGAGACGUGGACCUGGGAUAUUAGGCUGUCCCACAAGGUAAGCUUCAUUUCCCCUGUGGUGUCACCGACCCAUAUCUCCUUCAGCUCACAUUCCUCCUGGUUAACCAAGACGAUUUUACUGACGGCAGCACGGGGAAGGACCUUAGCUUGCAGCUCGCCUACCUGUAAGCAUAAAAAAAAAAAAAAAUCUAAUUUAGCUGCUGAGUAGAUCUAAUAACGUAGGCCUCUUUGCCAAUAUUUUUUUUCGAAUAGAAGAUAGCAUACUCACAUUUUGUCUUGGUCCCAGCACUUUCACGGCAGCUACAUCCAUCCUUGUGCUGCCUGAAGGUGCGAUGCGGCAGAAGGGCACGGUCACAACAUCAAGGGUUGUUGUUUUAGAGCAGAUUACAUCGAACCCAUCUGGAUCGGAGAAGCCUGCAGGACGAAAAUAUCUAGGCUGUGACACUUACUGAGGCUGCGGCGUACGUUCUUCAGCUUCACUGCUGUCCCGUUCUUAGAAGCUUGCGAAAACGCGAAUUUUUUGCUGGAGACACGCUAUGUAGAUAUCCUUCUACGGCGCAAUCCUCCACUU
Onychostoma macrolepis is the source of this 2747-nucleotide long non-coding RNA. RefSeq lists it as uncharacterized. The record is from RefSeq and is a predicted model, not a curated record. NCBI's taxonomy places the organism in Eukaryota, Metazoa, Chordata, Actinopteri, Cypriniformes, Cyprinidae. The transcript is spliced from 4 exons.